ACCUCAUGAUUUGGGAAUUGGGCUAGCUUUCCAUUAAACCUCUCCCAUGCUUCAAACAAUAUUUCUCCAUUCAAUUGCUGAUGUUUACAAUCCCAUCCCACUUUUGAAGCA
Molecule: small nucleolar RNA, 111 nt
Filed under: Capsicum annuum
Lineage: Eukaryota; Viridiplantae; Streptophyta; Magnoliopsida; Solanales; Solanaceae
Description: Plant small nucleolar RNA R71
Rfam family: Plant small nucleolar RNA R71
About the family: R71 is a member of the C/D box family of snoRNAs containing the C (UGAUGA) and D (CUGA) box motifs.
Source: Rfam by way of RNAcentral